Ananas comosus (pineapple) is the source of this 549-nucleotide long non-coding RNA. RefSeq lists it as uncharacterized. The transcript is spliced from 6 exons. The record is from RefSeq and is a predicted model, not a curated record. NCBI's taxonomy places the organism in Eukaryota, Viridiplantae, Streptophyta, Magnoliopsida, Poales, Bromeliaceae.
GUUCAUUAACUGCUCUCAGUAAUCCACUGAUCCUGCCACUACCUUUUACUCAUGCAUCUCUAUAGGUGCUUCUGGUGAUUUAUUCAGUCUUCUCGGAGCAAUGCUGUCGGAGCUUCUCACUAACUGGACCUUAUAACCACACAAGAUUUAUCUUUUCUUUCUCUCAUUUCCUUUUUGAGGCUCAUGAGUUUUGUACUGCUGCUCGAACCUCAGUUUGCAUAGUUGGAACGGCACAAUCUGCCUCCUGGAAGGAAGGUCCCACAAAGACAUAAGGCUUACCAGUUAAUAUUAUUGGUUGUUGCGCUCACAUUGAUCAUAGUUGGUUUUACUGUUGGGCUGAUAAUACUAUUCCGUUGGGCGGAUGCGAAUGAUCAUUGCCACUGGUGUCAUUAUGCAGCGUAAGGACAGUCCACUUCAUAAAAUCCAUCGUCAUUUGCAACACACCUGGGCCAACUUUGCGGCAAUCUUUUAUUACAAAGAAUCUCAUUGCGCUUCCUAUACUCUAUUUCUGCAAGCAUGGAAGCAUUAGUUUUUGCUCAGCUUACUGUC